UACCAAAUAUGGUAAUGGCCCUCGGCUAAACACAGAGCCAAUCCGCCAUUUUUUCUUCUCGCUAAGAUUUUUUGUAGUCCUAUUGGAAAAAUGCAGAAUGUCUGGUUAUUUUAGCCACACACAGCUCAAAACUGUUCCUCGUUUUAAGGAAGGGUGGUGUGGCAGUAUUUAAACCCAGGAGCUGAUGACACUACUGCUAAAAAAACACAGAAGAAAAAGUAGUGUGUUUGUGUGUGUGUGUGUGUGUGUGUGUGUGUGUGUGUGUGUGUGUGUGUGUGCGUGCGCGCGUGGUUCGUUCGUUCUGUCUCCAGGCUAGUGGCUAAGUACUGAGGGCUUCAUCUAUCUAAAAGGAGUUAUUUCCAUCUGAAUUUGGCAGCACCGGGACACAGCAGCAGAGCGAGUCCACAUCCAGAAGACUGGAGCCGUGUUUCACUGACAGGCUGUCAGACUAACGCCCUGAUGAGCUCAGCUGGGACAAACUGGUCUGAUGUUUAGGAACACAGAACGUUCAGAUGUUGGCGUUUCACGUCACCUACUGAGGAAGGAGACCCACCAGUAAAGAGACGGUCUGGACCAGACCAAAAAUAUGGCGAUGACAUCAUGGAACUGGUCUUUGGAAAAGUUUUCCCUGAACCAACUCCGUUUCUAGAUGAGGUAGAGAAGAUCUGCAUCUCACCAACCCUCUGGUCUCAGUAUUCAGACAACGGAGGUCUCCCACUGUUAUCCAGGACCAGUUUGAAGCCCACAUACUGCCCCUCCCUCAUCAUCAGGAAACAUCAAUCCGUUUCCUGAGGACAACAGAAGACGGCAGGAGGACAGGAACUCUGAGACCUAGACACCACCAGCACCGAGACACAAAGCACCUGUGUGCACAACGCCUGUUUAACUACUAAAGCCUGAUUAUUAUAUUGUUCUACUUAUUUGCUGUGAGGUUAAUACUUAGAAAAUUUGUAUAUUAAUGUAAACAAUAAAAAAAAAUCACUGAUUGUAUGCUUUCUUUUAGAUGUAAUGGUCCAAACUCAGCCUUGUAGACAUUUAUUGCAUCCUGUAGGUAAAUACACAGAACAGGCUCAGGUCCAGGAUGACCCAACAUGCUCUUCUUCCAUUCUGGCUGUUAGGGAUUGUAUCAAUAACUCAAUGCCUACUGAUGUUUCCACCUAACGGUAUUUAUUUAGAAUGCAGGUAAGAUUUAACUAUAUUUGUUAGCAAAGCAGACUGAUCUUGGGAAUUUCACUGCAGCACUGAUGUCCACCUCUCUGUACACAUUAGAGAGAAUUACCACUUUACAGCUAAACACAUUUAAUAAAGAUAUAGGCUACGCAUUGCAGACAAUAAAAACAAAGUUGUAAGCAUUAGAAUUAUAAUGAUGACAUUAAAGAACACUUGGAGGAAUGUUCUUUAUUUUUGACUAGAAUCUCAAAUCUUUAAAUUAAAAUGUAACUGCUUUUUAUCCAUUUUCAGCCAUUAAGACACCCAAUAUAAAAUAAGACUACUUAUAAAAUUAUUUAUAAUUAUAUGUAUGUAUAUAGAUAGAGAUCUUAAUAAAAUAUAUUCUUUGAA
This is a non-coding RNA of Nothobranchius furzeri (turquoise killifish), 1560 nucleotides long. The record is from RefSeq and is a predicted model, not a curated record. NCBI's taxonomy places the organism in Eukaryota, Metazoa, Chordata, Actinopteri, Cyprinodontiformes, Nothobranchiidae.